AAUUCCAUACCCACCUUGUGUGCAACGUUUGAAUCUACUUAUGCGUGCUUAUCUCUUUCGAGUGGGCCGCGUAAGUCAGAAUCUUUAAUCCAUUAAUCUAUUUAAAACAGUUUUGUCUGAAGCAAUGUAUCAUUGAAUUGACCUAAUUCGAAAAUACAACUUUCAACAACGGAUCUCUUGGCUCUCGCAUCGAUGAAGAACGCAGCGAAAUGCGAUACGUAAUGUGAAUUGCAGAAUUCAGUGAAUCAUCGAAUCUUUGAACGCACAUUGCGCUCUCUGGUAUUCCGGAGAGCAUGCUUGUUUGAGUAUCAGUAAAACACCCUCAAUUCUCUCGUUUUUCGAGGAAAUUGGACUUGAGCGAUCCCAACGGCGGUUUAAAAACCCGCUGGCGGGUCGCUUGAAAUGCAGGUGCGGCUGGACACAUCUUCUGAGCUAUAAGCAUUACUUAUUUAGUCCCGUCAAACGGAUUAUUUCUAUUGCUGCAGCUAACAUAAAGGUUGAUUGUCCUGUGCCCGACUGAUGCAGGAAAACAAAGAGAAAUCUUUGUUCAACUCGAUCUCAAAUCAAGUAAGACUACCCGCUGAACUUAA
RNAcentral lists this ribosomal RNA (590 nucleotides) under fungal sp. 833 YZ-2011. Its description in RNAcentral is "eukaryotic LSU rRNA". The stretch from base 158 to 311 matches the Rfam family "5.8S ribosomal RNA". Lineage: Eukaryota; Fungi. The record is from RNAcentral.